GAUUCAACAGGUCUGGAGGAGGGCCCAAGAAUUUGCAUUCUAACCAGUUCUCAGGUGACGCUGAUACAGCUGGUCGAGAGACCACACUUUGAGAAGUAAUGUCCUAGAGUAUCUCGAACCACUCUUACAACUUGAAGCAGAGACUAGAAACAGUACUUGGCUAUUUCAAGCCAAGCAAAGUGCUGCUGUUGUGUUAUAAAAGAAGGAGACCACGCAGGCUCUCGACUUUCCUAAUCACCAGAGGCCAUGUCUAGAAUCAGAAAGAAGGGCCCCCAGAAAAUCUUCUGAUGAGAGUGGGAACAGAACUUCAGCUUUAAUCCUGGUGUCUUGACAAGCUCAAAGAGGCAAACAUCACUUAACGUGACAAGCAAACCAUAACUGCGGUGCGAAAACACUGUUAGUCAGGAUCGUUUAUGCUUCUAAGUGAGAGGCUUCUUCCACGUAUUCUCCCAGCAGGGAGGUGAAGGGGUCACACCACCUGACACUCAAAAAAGCACUAGCUGUCUCCCAAAGGGCAUCCAGCGCGUGGACUUUGGAUGGACUUUCCUCGUCAGGCAAAACCAAGUUCCAAGGAUAUUGAUCAAAAUCAAGGAGCUAAUGAGUGGCAGAGCUGAAAUUCAAAUUCGGACUCCAGGCUCUGUCAUCUUUCCACGUAUCAGCUGCCCCAUUUGUCUUGUGGGUUCCCUGCCUCCUCCAGCCAGCCUUUUUUGUGCCCUUCAAUCCCUAGUAAAGUGGCAUAUGAAUAAUAAAUAGUGGUUAAUAUUUAUCGUGAGCUUACAAUAUUCUCCAUAUUUUAUAAGUGGUCUACAGGGGUUAUCAUUUAAUUCUCACCACCCUAUGAUGUAAAUCCUAUUAUUUUUAUCCUAAGGUGCAAGGUGAGACCUCUGAGGUUCAGAGACGUUAAAUAACUUUACCAAGGUCACACAGCAAUUAAAUCAUAGGGCCAGGAUUUAAACCCAGGCAAUCUGGCUCCUGAGCCUAUGCAUUUAGCCACUGUGCCAUGCCACCCCCGCCCUUUGUAAUCGGCCCUCAGAGAAUCUUUGUGGAUUGAUUGGUGACACCAC
Molecule: long non-coding RNA, 1064 nt
Filed under: Equus caballus (horse)
Lineage: Eukaryota; Metazoa; Chordata; Mammalia; Perissodactyla; Equidae
Description: lncRNA (ENSECAG00000045718.1)
Source: RNAcentral